CCCGGCGCGCCGGGGCCGCGUAGCACGGCCCCGCCCGCCCGCUCCCCGCCGCCGCCGCCGCCAGGAUACUGAAGAUGGUGCGCUCCCAGGGCUCCAGCAUGUAGAGCGCGGUGACCAGCAGACACCGGGAAAGGGUCGUUCCCAGAUGGGCAGGAGAUGCCGUGUUACCGAACGAGGCCCCCUCUGAGCCUCCCGGCGCGGGUGGGCAGUAGCCCGCAGCACCCCGACCCUGCUGCUCCAAAACGUCCUCGUCACGCAAAGAAGCCUUCGCUACAGCAGGUCACCUCGUACCUGCCCUAAACCUCUGUCAAGCACCGAAGUAUCGCAGCAUGCUAGGGACUGCACCUGCACACGCACGUCUUCACUGCAGUGAGGGAUAAUCCAUGGCAUAGGCACGUUUGGGUCAAAAUAAAUUAAAUUACGCGACUGAGCACGAACUUUGAGUAAAUUGCUGACCUGAGUCAAA
This is a long non-coding RNA of Rhea pennata, 466 nucleotides long. RefSeq lists it as uncharacterized. The record is from RefSeq and is a predicted model, not a curated record. The transcript has 2 exons. NCBI's taxonomy places the organism in Eukaryota, Metazoa, Chordata, Aves, Rheiformes, Rheidae.